CUGCCGGGCUCACUGUCCUCAUUGCAGCUGACCGCAACGCGGGACAGCGGGAUCUGCUCCGGGCGGUCCAGGGCAAGCCGGUGCCGCUCGUGUAGCCGAACGGCGGCCGUAGCGGCACGGCCGGGGAGAGUUGCGUCGACCAGGUCUUGUAAUGGUGGUCAACUGGUCUGAGCCAACCCCUCCUCCCACUUCCUCAUCCCGAGGUUCUUUGAUGUCAUUCUUCAGGGUUCACCCGCCUCCUGCGUUCAGCUCAUUGUCCAAUCUAGAGGAAUUGGCGCUAGAAAUGAACGAGUCUGAUGCAGGAAAGUUCUAUCUACACCUUACGCAGAUCUUGAGCUCGAUGGCUUGCCACCAUCACACCAUGAUCGGAAUGGUUGAGUUUGGAAUGUUUCAAAGUCUUCCUUUUACUGCUUCUUAAUAGUUAUGUUAAAUUGUGCUAUGUUUCUAUGAAAUAUCCCUUCAGAUAGUAUGAUUAGCUUACUCUUCUAGGUUUUAGUGAUUCUGGCUUUUCUCAUUAUGGUGACUUUGCAGGCUUGCUCUAAAUGGUCAUUUGAUAAUAGGAUUGCCUAUUGGAGAUGACUUGUCAAGCUUGAGUAUGGCAGAUACUAGAUCCUGAAAAAUUCAGCAAGGAUGGACACAUUGAAGAGUUUAGAUGAGGUUCUUAUUUGUCCAAUCAUUUCAUGCCUUUUUUGGUAACAUAAAUUCAAUCUUGUAAUUUGUACUGGAAACUUUUAACUUAUUCUAAUUACAGUUGAGUUUGCCCAUUAGUAUUAGGUGGAGCUAACGGAACAAAAGAGAUGUUAAACAGAAAUGGUGGACAUAUUGAAAUCUUAGCAGUUGCAUCUUGAAUAUCCUAUUGGCGUUCUCCUCUUAGUCUUACAAUGCUAUAUUGCUUGAGCCAGGCUUCUCUUGUGACUGAAACCUAAUCUUUCUUUACUUGCAAUGGAGGUUUCAAAUGUUGUUUAUGUUGUCCACUGAGGUUUUUUUUCUAUGCUCAGUCCUUCAAUUUCCUGUAUUGGAUAUUUUAUACUAGAGACAAAAGCAUAGGCACCAUUACAUCAUGCUAUUUAUCUUAUCGUGUCGUUAUCUGUAUAUACUCUGUAUGUUAUUUUGACAUUCCCAGUUUUGUUGUGGUAGUAUGUAUUUGACUCCUUUUCCCUGCCUUCUUCCUUUGAAUCACUCAAUGAAUUCACUCUUUGGCUCUGAAACUGUCCUCAUGGUCAUGUCUACUGGUAUACAGGGCAUUAAAAGCCGUAAAUAUUGCUAUCUAUAGGCCGUGUAUCAUGAAUCUCUAUUUUACACAGUUUUUUCGCCUCCUCAUAUUACGUCAUAUGGUUCAAUUGAUAUUUCAGAAGACACCAAUGCAUAUAGUACAAAAUAAUACAAAGACAUGUAUCUUGUUGUCAUUGCAAAAUCAAAGAACAAUGAGUUUUCACUGGCAAGUGUGUUAUUUUGUUCCUUUUCUAUUUGUUGCAUUACUUGAUUUGAGUGCUUUGUUUCGCACGGUAAAGUGACAAAAAUAAUGAUCCAGUUCCGUAGUUUUGUUCUCUUCUCUUUUGUGUACAUAUGAAAGAAACUACUAUUGGAAUAGAUUAGUAAAUGAAUAUUCAAUUAAUUAUAGCAUUUUGUACUUUACUCGCAGGUACUGUUUGUCCAUCCCUAUACAUUAUUAUUUUGAUGUCCUUUGGCUCCUUACAUCUUACACUCUUUUUGAUAGUUGGCUCUCUAUUUCUUCCCUUAACAUUAAGUGUUUUUAUACUACUGUAUGAAUCCCUAAUCUGCUGCUUCGUUUCACUUACAGAGAAUGUACUGCUAGCAUGUUGAUGUGGUAAUUGGUUCUCUGUUUCUUCAGCUACUUAGUAAGGGUUUGCUCUAAACUUUUUCCGGUUCGUUAAUUGAUAUCUUCAUUCUCCAUUGGCAACACUUAUUGCUAUCUAAAUCGUGGUUCAUCUUUUUUUCUUAGCUCCCACUUCAAAAGUUUUCGCUAUUUUUGUCUUGGUACACUUUUACUUCAAAAGUUCACGCAAUGCAUAACAAACCUUCCGUGAUGUGUCUAACAUUUUCAGGUAGAUGAGAAUGUACCUCAUCAUUACUGUAAAUUUAAUUUACUGGUUGGAAAAUUAUCAGGUGCAAGCAUAAUCGCCUUUGCCUGUCAUAUUUACUAGGCAUAUGUAAUCUCUGCCAUUGCUGAUAAUAUCAUGUUUGAUAUAGGCUGUUUCAGUCUAUGGCUCAUCCUAUAUUUUUACUUGGAUCCUGCAAGGUCGAGAUUUGCUCAACCUGGCUUUUACAUGGAUGAAUCUUACUUCUACCGUUUCCAAAAAAUUUCCUUCUCCAGAUGUGGGCAUUUGUCGUGCUGUCACUCUAGUCACCUGUCGUUCUCUGUCUCAAGAUUCGGUACAUCAGCAUGAGCAUCAUCCUCAUCACCAUCUCUAGGAUUCUGGACUAACUGAAUGUAGUGCGCUGUCAUUGAAAGAUUAGCUUGCUCUUGCUGCUUUACGGUCUUUAGAUUACAUUGUUAGACAACUUGCUACUCCCUCCGUUCCUAAAUAUUUGUCUUUCUAGACAUUUCAAAUGACUACUACAUACGGAUGUAUGUAGACAUAUUUUAGAGUGUAGAUUCACUCAUUUUGCUCCGUAUGUAGUCACUUGUUGAAAUGCCUAGAAAGACAAGUAUUUAGGAACGGAGGGAGUAGAAAUUAGGGUAUGCAAUGUGCCUUCAAGUUUAAGAUGAACUUCCUCUGGUUUUGAGACAGUUUAGCCACUCCAUAUAUUUCCUCUCUCGUAACCUGCACUUAGUAUGUCAUUUUGUCUAUGAUACUGUAUAUCUUUGUUUUUCACCUGAAACUUAGCAUGAAAAUUUUGAAUUAAUUAGAGCUCAUUUUUUUUGUAUGGUUCAUUGAGCCGUACUUAAAAAUGAACUUCCAUUUGAUUCGUAAUGUGUUCCUGGAUUCUUGAUUUUAAAUUUGUUCUAUCAAGAUUAAUGAUUUGAAGGUCCUUCACCUAAUGAAUUAUAUUUUCUUGUUGACCCACUUGCAUUUGUCAAUUUGAGGUCUUGACACUCCUCUCUUGACGGAAUAACUGUGCAUCAAAGUAUAUGCAAUCAUCACCUUCAUGAUUUGAAGGUCCUUCACCUAAUGAAUUUUAUUUUCUUGCUGACCGACUUGGAUUUGUCAAUUUGAGGUCUUGACACAUAGAACAUACACUUUUAUUUAUGGUGUUUGUUAUCAUAAGAUAGGUUCAGAACCAAGAUCUGGGCCAACGCGCCUCGUUCUCGCAUGUGUCUUCCACCCCCUGCUGUCUAUGCUGGCCAUGGGGAGAAAGAUGACAGCGCUUCAGAUGCCAAUAAGGAAGGACGAGAGCAGGAUUGACCAGCAGCUCGAGUAGGAGGAGGCCAGCGGUGCCUGGACCAUACUUUCUCUGCUUCUUCUUUCCACUUCAGUACAUGCCUUCCACUCCCAGCUCGACCUCUCCUUUUCCCGGCUUCUCUGCUUGGCAGUAAGAGGUGACACAUCAGAUCAGGAAACUGUGCAACAUAUAUGGAAGGUUUGGUAUUAAGAUGAGGACAUAUGCAGACAACAAGCCAACGACAUCAGGUUGUCGACAGCAGCGACAUCAAUGGAUGGAGAUACACCUGCUGCAAUGGACUUUGUUGUCUCAUCGGUAUGGUCGCCUGUGACAGUACAAGGGAGCUUUCAUUUUUUGUUGAAAUCUCUGAAGAAUUUUAUGGAAGCGGGGACUCCUCUGGAGCUUGUGGCGGCGUUCAUGGCGGGAUUCCUCGUACUGUACCUCAACUACCUGUACAAGCGAUGGGGCGGGCAGGACGAUGCGCACUGGACGGGAUCCAGCACGGUGGCCGGACCGACGAGGAAGAGGACCAACAGAGGGGGACUUGGCAAGGCUGCAUGCUGGCAGCCAUGCCGAUGUUCAAAUCUAAGGCGUGUGUGCGUGCCGGCUGCAGCAAGAUCAGGGAGGAGUGCACGGUGUUCCUUGGCGCCAUGCAUGAUGGAUCUGGCACGGCGGUCGGGCCGACGAGGACCAGCGGAUGGGUUCGAUGAAAAGUGGCAUGGUGCAAAGGUUGGUAGCUGGUGCAUAGGUGUUGCUUCAUCAUCUUGCCUUCUUUGAAGCGUGGGCUGAUUGAUGGUUAGCCAUCAUGUACGUAAUUUUUUGUGUGAACUUACUUCAAUUGGAACCGAUAAUUUUCUGCCAUGAUUUCUACUAGAUUGUAAUCUUGGAUGACUUUUGCAUCAUUGAUAUUUGAAGGUCUUCAAAUGACUUGAAUGUCAG
Triticum aestivum (bread wheat) is the source of this 4284-nucleotide long non-coding RNA. RefSeq lists it as uncharacterized. The record is from RefSeq and is a predicted model, not a curated record. The transcript is spliced from 5 exons. NCBI's taxonomy places the organism in Eukaryota, Viridiplantae, Streptophyta, Magnoliopsida, Poales, Poaceae.